RNAcentral lists this ribosomal RNA (253 nucleotides) under uncultured bacterium. RNAcentral describes it as "partial 16S ribosomal RNA". It matches the Rfam family "Bacterial small subunit ribosomal RNA", at positions 524 to 776 of the family's 1533-position model. The record is from RNAcentral.
UACGUAGGGGGCAAGCGUUGUCCGGAAUCAUUGGGCGUAAAGCGCGCGUAGGCGGCCCGGUAAGUCCGCUGUGAAAGUCAAGGGCUCAACCCUUGAAAGCCGGUGGAUACUGCUGGACUAGAGUCCGGAAGAGGCGAGUGGAAUUCCUGGUGUAGCGGUGAAAUGCGCAGAUAUCAGGAGGAACACCGGUGGCGAAGGCGGGUCUCUGGGCCGUAACUGACGCUGAGGAGCGAAAGCGUGGGGAGCGAACAGG